Molecule: non-coding RNA, 559 nt
Organism: Heterocephalus glaber (naked mole-rat)
Lineage: Eukaryota; Metazoa; Chordata; Mammalia; Rodentia; Bathyergidae
Source: RefSeq, a predicted model, not a curated record
CCAGGGUUGGCCGGUGGCCAGGGGCUGCUGCACAAGGUGGGCUGCGGGGGGCAGGGGCCGUGCAGACGGGAGAGGUGGAGAAAAGAGACCAGAGAGCGGAAGCCAGCUGGGCGAAGUGACAACGCAAGGAACGUCGCAGGAACUCCCACGCACGUCACAACACAGGCCAGGGCAGCGUUCCAUCAUCCAGCACUUCUGGCCUUGGAAGACACUACUGAAGUCCAGAGAGGUUAAGACAUUAGUCUAGAGUCACACAGUGGGAGUGAAGAGCCUGGGUCUGGCCCUAGCUGGCUGGCCUGUGUUGCGCCACCUGAGUGUGGAGUGUGUGGAGUGCACUAAGCUGACCGAGGUGGACGAGGCAAGUAAGGGACCAUGACGCCGCCCCCUGCCCCAUUUCCCUCACCCAGCUCUGCAGUGCUGGGCCUCAGUGAAGUCCCUGGGGUGCUGGGCCUGGCAGCUCUGGGACCUGGCACUGCGGCUGGAUCCUAGAGAGUGGCCUGCUUGCCCAGUCUGGAGUUCAAAUCCCAGCCCAGCCAUCUGUCCCUGUGGAUCCAGCAGA